UAGGGAAUCUUCCGCAAUGGACGAAAGUCUGACGGAGCAACGCCGCGUGAGUGAAGAAGGAUUUCGGUUCGUAAAACUCUGUUGUUAGGGAAGAAAAAAUGUAUAGUAACUAUAUACAAAAGAGACGGUACCUAACCAGAAAGCCACGGCUAACUACGUGCCAGCAGCCGCGGUAAUACGUAGGUGGCAAGCGUUGUCCGGAAUUAUUGGGCGUAAAGCGCGCGCAGGUGGUUUAGAAAGUCUGAUGUGAAAGCCCACGGCUCAACCGUGGAGGGUCAUUGGAAACUAAUAAACUUGAGUGCAGGAGAGCAAAGUGGAAUUCCUAGUGUAGCGGUGAAAUGCGUAGAGAUUAGGAGGAACACCGGUGGCGAAAGCGGCUUUUUGGCCUGCAACUGACACUGAGGCGCGAAAGCGUGGGGAGCAAACAGG
RNAcentral lists this ribosomal RNA (429 nucleotides) under Verrucomicrobiota bacterium. Its description in RNAcentral is "Verrucomicrobia bacterium partial 16S ribosomal RNA". It matches the Rfam family "Bacterial small subunit ribosomal RNA", at positions 355 to 776 of the family's 1533-position model. Lineage: Bacteria; Pseudomonadati; Verrucomicrobiota. The record is from RNAcentral.